UGGAUUGAAAACCCAAAAGGGCGGUCCACGCAAAAGAGGGAAUAAGCGAAUGACUGCAAUCUGAGUUCAUCCGUGUUAUAUCACCGUUUCAUUCAAUCCGGCAAUCUUCAGGCGGUCCACGCAAAAGAGGGAAUAAGCGAAUGACUGCAAUCUGAGUUCAUCCGUGUUAUAUCACCGUUUCAUUCAAUCCGGCAAUCUUCGAAGGUUAAAGAUCGACUAAUCAUCCACUUCAGAAAG
RNAcentral lists this long non-coding RNA (237 nucleotides) under Lathyrus oleraceus (garden pea). RNAcentral describes it as "Pisum sativum (pea) long non-coding RNA (PSAT_LNC033323)". Lineage: Eukaryota; Viridiplantae; Streptophyta; Magnoliopsida; Fabales; Fabaceae. The record is from RNAcentral.